Pantherophis guttatus is the source of this 211-nucleotide non-coding RNA. Lineage: Eukaryota; Metazoa; Chordata; Lepidosauria; Squamata; Colubridae. The record is from RefSeq and is a predicted model, not a curated record.
AAUCCAGACAAUUGCCAGGAGACAAUACAAACUCAAAGACAACACAAGAAGUUUGGUUCUCUUCCAACGAAGAAAAACAUUCUGGAGGACAUUAUUAGCCAUCAUUUCUCACAGCAUCCAAGCUAAGUUCCAAGUUUCCAAGAAUCUGAAGAAAGUCCAGCUCAGCCAUUGAAGACACGGCAACAUAAUCCUCCAUAUUAUAGUAAGCAGA